CAGGACAGGUGCAGGUGCCUGAAGAAGAAAUUGAGCAAAACGGCCAAAACAGGAGCAAAGGCAGCCACAAAACAGUGUGCAUGAAUGGCACAGAGGCAGGACAGUUUAACAGCAAGGUCAAAAAUGAACGGAGGUCGAGCUCUUCUUCCAAUCCAUCCCGCAAAGCCUCCACCAGUAGCAGCAAAAUUCGGAAACUCUCUGCAUGUAAACAGCAAUGACCCAUCUGUAAACUCUGUGUGAUUUAAUAUUGUGAUAUGAUACGAUCAAGACAUUAAAGCCUCCCAAAAAGAAUGGUAGGUCACUCAUAUUUUGCGCUGGGUGAUUAUUGUCAUAUAAACUUUGUUUAAUUAUUUAGAAAACAGCCUCUGUUUCUGUUCUUUUUAUAUAUAUAUAUAUAUAUAUAUAUACUUGAAAGUGAUUUAUUUUUCUGUAAACAUACUAGACUUGUGUGACAGAAUGACAUUACUUUUAUUUCAGUUCAUUUUUUAAAAAAAGGGUAGCAAUCCCAUUCAUUUGUCACUUAAGAUGAAAUUAAGGGAAUGGGUAUAAUAUAUAUUUUACAAUACAUAUUUCGUUAUGUUUGUAACCAUACCAACCCUUUUUUGUUUUUUUUUCAAUUUCCUGUACUUUCGAUUUGCUGUACUUUGAGAACCUCUUAUGCAAAAAGAGUAUUCUUAGUAUUGAAAGAGCUGGAAUGAUUUGUCAGAGCUUUUGAGGUUGGCCGUCCUUCAAAGCUCCUAAUAGCUGGUAGCCAGUCUAAUGUUGAGCUGCUUUUUAAACAAGAAUUGUGAUAUGGUGGAAUAGAUUUUAAUUUCACUGCUUGGUGGAAAACUGCUGGUUGAGAAUCACCCUACUGAUACGCCUUAUUUAUGUUGAUGUAAAGGAAAAAACAGCAGUGCAUAUAAUGGAUAGUCACUCUGCCACCGUCAGAUUUAUACCUGGUAGUGAAACGUAAAAUCUCUCCCAAUCUCAAGUAGUAGAGUCAUGUACUCGCUGAGAAUUGUUCCUGCCCCAUAUAUGGUUUACGUCUGAGUCAGCUUCGGAUUCUGUCUGAGAAAAUGAACUGCAAGGAAUAUUUAGGUGGCUCAGACAGCAGUAGUGUUUCCUGCACAGCUUCCAGGAGUAAUUUUCAACAUGCAAGAUGAGACUGAUAGCCUUUUCUGCUCCUGAACGCUUUGCAUCAACCACCCAGAAAUCUAGAGUAUGUUAUACAUGUGGUUAGUAGAUUUGACUGAUAUGUUUUGGGACUUGAAGCAUGUAACUGUAGCUUUUUGCUGGGGAUUACUCUACACUGCCAUGUUACAUAGCUUUUGUCCUCUGAAUUCUAAUUUUGUGAAACAGGAUUGUAAUUUUAAGAAUUGAACCUGUUAAAGGAGCAGUACGUUAGAUGUUUUAUGUUUUUAAAAUUAAAUUAUUACAUGCUGUCCUCCUUCCUAAUGUAUUCUUUUAUAAAUUGGUACAGUUAUCAAAGCAUAUUCUCAAUCCAGUCUUUGCAGUUUCCAAGGAAGAACUAUCAUUCUUCUAUACUACAGCUGGUUAUAAAUGUGCAGCUGCAGUUCCCACUUUCAAACCAAAUCAAUAGCGCUGGUGCUACCUGAACAAAAUGACUUUUUAUUUUUCAUUAUUGUUUUCAUGUGUGUAGGUGCACUUGACUGUUUGUUAGCAGUAGACUAAUAACUAGCCAUUCUGCCUCUAACCAGCCUAGACUCAGGACGUGCUGCUCCUUGAAGUUGGCAAAUAAAAGUUUUUUUUUUAAUGAUUACUUUUGUAUGUUGAAAAAUGUAUAGCAAACCACAGUUUUGGUAGAAAAUAGUUGGUGAUUGAAAGUUCACAGCUGCUUUGAAAACCAUAUUUGAAGACUAAAUUAAAUGGAACAUAUUUGUAAAUGAA
Long non-coding RNA from Rhincodon typus (whale shark), 1890 nucleotides. RefSeq lists it as uncharacterized. Lineage: Eukaryota; Metazoa; Chordata; Chondrichthyes; Orectolobiformes; Rhincodontidae. The transcript has 2 exons. The record is from RefSeq and is a predicted model, not a curated record.